ACCCUAUGAUUAGGAUACUUAUGAAGUAACUCCUUGAUUCGCUCCUAAGUCUCAUACAAAGAUUCGUCAUCCAAUUGUUAGAAAGUUGUGAUCUCGUUCCUCAACUU
Molecule: non-coding RNA, 107 nt
Organism: Gossypium arboreum
Lineage: Eukaryota; Viridiplantae; Streptophyta; Magnoliopsida; Malvales; Malvaceae
Source: Rfam